This 444-nucleotide ribosomal RNA is filed under the name uncultured bacterium. RNAcentral describes it as "partial 16S ribosomal RNA". It matches the Rfam family "Bacterial small subunit ribosomal RNA", at positions 339 to 795 of the family's 1533-position model. The record is from RNAcentral.
CUACGGGUCGCAGCAGUGGGGAAUAUUGCACAAUGGGCGAAAGCCUGAUGCAGCAACGCCGCGUGAGGGACGACGGCCUUCGGGUUGUAAACCUCUUUUAGCAGGGAAGAAGCGAAAGUGACGGUACCUGCAGAAAAAGCACCGGCUAACUACGUGCCAGCAGCCGCAGUAAUACGUAGGGUGCAAGCGUUGUCCGGAAUUAUUGGGCGUAAAGAGCUCGUAGGCGGUUUGUCGCGUCUGCUGUGAAAAUCCGAGGCUCAACCUCGGACCUGCAGUGGGUACGGGCAAACUAGAGUGCGGUAGGGGAGAUUGGAAUUCCUGGUGUAGCGGUGGAAUGCGCAGAUAUCAGGAGGAACACCAAUGGCGAAGGCAGAUCUCUGGGCCGUAACUGACGCUGAGGAGCGAAAGCGUGGGGAGCGAACAGGAUUAGAUACCCCCGUAGUC